Oncorhynchus nerka (sockeye salmon) is the source of this 1142-nucleotide long non-coding RNA. RefSeq lists it as uncharacterized. The transcript is spliced from 2 exons. The record is from RefSeq and is a predicted model, not a curated record. Lineage: Eukaryota; Metazoa; Chordata; Actinopteri; Salmoniformes; Salmonidae.
AAUCAGUCCCUGAUUAGAGGGGAAUCACCCAUCUGGUGUCCCAGGUCUAAAUCAGUCCCUGAUUAGAAGGGAAUCACCCAUCUGGUGUCCCAGGUCUAAAUCAGUCCCUGAUUAGAAGGGAAUCACCCAUCUGGUGUCCCAGGUCUAAAUCAGUCCCUGAUUAGAAGGGAAUCACCCAUCUGGUGUCCCAGGUCUAAAUCAGUCCCUGAUUAGAAGGGAAUCACCCAUCUGGUGUCCCAGGUCUAAAUCAGUCCCUGAUUAGAGGGGAAUCACCCAUCUGGUGUCCCAGGUCUAAAUCAGUCCCUGAUUAGAGGGGAAUCACCCAUCUGGUGUCCCAGGUCUAAAUCAGUCCCUGAUUAGAAGGGAACAAUGAAAAAGUGCAGUGAAACUGGCUUCGAGGUCCAGCGUUGAGUUUGAGGGCCCUAUAUAGUGCACUACUUUUGACCAGAAACCUAUUGGCCAUGGUCAAAAGUAGUGCACUAUAUAUGGAAUAGGGUGCCAUUUGGGAUCAAAAGUAGUGCACUAUAUAGGGAAUAGGGUGCCAUUUGGGAGGGCCUACUGGGUUGUAGUUAUUUGCUAUAGUGUUUCCCUGUCAGGCCCUAUGGUCAGGAAUAACUCCUACCCCUAGGCAAAGAGUUGAAAAAAUAAUAAAGAUAACAUUUAAAUGGGAUUUUUCUUGUCGUCCGACCUAGAUCCUGUAAAUGUGUAUAUCUCCCGAAAAUCCCAAGCCACGCCUUUCAGUGCUCAGCUUUGUCAAAAUAAUACUCUCUGUUCUACAAUUGUUUACAAUGCAACACGUUUGUAAAGUAUUUUUCACAUGUCAUAACUGACCAGUCUUGGUGUAUACUCUUUGAUCCUCUCAUUCAUCUUUCGCAAUGUAUUUAUUUCUAAAAACAAAUAUUUUACUUUUUUAUUUUAUUUUAUUUUUUAGCUUUCGAUAACCCAUCUUGUACUGUGACUUGACUUGACCGACGGUAUGAAUGAGUGACACGAAACUGAUACGCUUCAACGGAACAUGACACAAACAGGAAUACAUAAACAACAACAAAAAUGCAUUAACAAAUAUUGGAAAUGUGUACAAGUGAAAGUUGUGGAAAAUGUAAGAUAUAUAUAUAUUAAAACAAAUGUUGCAACCCUUUUAA